CUCUGCCCGGCAGCAGGUGAGGGCGGGACCGGCGCCCGCGGCCCGGGAGCAGCCGCCUCUCACGGGCUGGAGGCGCUUAUGCGGCGGCGCUGCUGCGGAGGCGGCUGCCCGCGCUCCCGGCCCCCGCGGCGGCCGGGCGGCCGAGGGGCCGCUGCUCACACAGCUUGAUGCAAGAGGACUUGAAAUUCUCUCUCCUUUUGAACUAACUCCUCCAAUAACCUGUGAAUCAAUGGGAACAAAGCACUUAUUUCCUUCAGUCUCCUCAAAUUUUUAGGAAGGGAAAGAUCUUACUAUACCUAAACUGGAAACCUUUCUGACAAAGACAAGGACAGACUUCUUCAGCUUUCACAGCCUGCCCAGCUGGACACUCAGUGAUCUGUGAGCAGCCUGGGAGUCGUGGGACACUGUAGAGCUGAGUGUGCUCACACCUGAGGUAUUCCUGCUGUUGCUGUUCUGGCAUAUUUAGCAUUCCAUCGUUAUAAGAAUACCAAAUUCAUCAAAAAAAUGCAUUGCAAAAACGGAGAGGAAAUUAUGAAAAGGCCCCUCUCCUGACAACUUAAAGCACACUUCCCUUCUACCUAUCAGAGGGAACACUGCCUCUUUCAUAAUGAUGCACAUCCACAAAACUAAGAACACAAAGCUGUACCCUGGUUUCUGUUGUUCCCUGUCUAAACUACCUACCAGAGCCUACCAGUGUGAAAAGAAUAUUAAUAUGAGGUUAAUAGAGAAAGCUGAAAGCAUACUCAGAAGAACCAAACAGAAAACUUUUGAUUUGUAGAAUGAUCUCUUUCUCAAAUUCACUUUUUUUUUUUUUUAAUAAAAGCAUCUAAUUCUCGUUAGUGUAGUCUAUGCAUUAGUUUACAUGCUACGCCAUCCUUCCUUGUGUAAGUGCCCCAGGUUUAAAUUCUAAAGGAAUCAUCCACCUCAAAUACUUACCUGAAUUGUAAUUUCAUUUUUACUGCAUGAUUUCAGUCUGGACAAGUGAUACUCAGCACAGCUGCUACCUCCCAUGUUCAUUAUUCAUCUUAAUCAUUAAACCUAACUGCUUGUGAACUAACACUUAAAUACAUACCUUAAGAAAAUAUUUGCUUUUCAUAAACUAGCUAUUUAAAGGCU
This is a long non-coding RNA of Prinia subflava (tawny-flanked prinia), 1116 nucleotides long. RefSeq lists it as uncharacterized. The record is from RefSeq and is a predicted model, not a curated record. The transcript is spliced from 5 exons. Lineage: Eukaryota; Metazoa; Chordata; Aves; Passeriformes; Cisticolidae.